GCCUGGGUGGCACAGCGGUUAGGUGUCUGCCUUCAGCUCAGGGCGUGAUCCCGGCGUUAGGGAUCGAGCCCCACGCCAGGCU
RNAcentral lists this transfer RNA (82 nucleotides) under Ailuropoda melanoleuca (giant panda). RNAcentral describes it as "tRNA-Sec". The record is from RNAcentral. Lineage: Eukaryota; Metazoa; Chordata; Mammalia; Carnivora; Ursidae.